This 459-nucleotide ribosomal RNA is filed under the name uncultured bacterium. RNAcentral describes it as "partial 16S ribosomal RNA". It matches the Rfam family "Bacterial small subunit ribosomal RNA", at positions 338 to 795 of the family's 1533-position model. The record is from RNAcentral.
CCUACGGGUGGCAGCAGUGAGGAAUAUUGGUCAAUGGCCGGAAGGCUGAACCAGCCAAGUCGCGUGAGGGACGACUGCCCUAUGGGUUGUAAACCUCUUUUAUAAGGGAAGAAUAAUUGCUACGUGUAGCAUGAUGCCUGUCCCUUAUGACUAAGCAUCGGCUAACUCCGUGCCAUCAGCCGAGGUAAUACGGAGGAUGCGAGCGUUAUCCGGGUUUAUUGGGUUUAAGGGGUGCGUAGGCGGUUUUUUAAGUUAGUGGUUAAACGUUGGGUCUUAACCUUAAUUUUCCAUUAAUACUGGAAGACGCGAGGUCAGACGAGGUAGGCGGAAUAAGUUAAGUAGCGGUGAAAUGCAUAGAUAUAACUCAGAACUCCGAUAGCGAAGGCAGCUUACCAGACUGCGACUGACGCUGAAGCACGAGAGCGUGGGGAGCGAACAGGAUUAGAUACCCUGGUAGUC